GAAACCACAAAGCUUACAAGCCAAGUCCAGAGUGGCAAAAUCACAAUUUGGAAUCAACAGGAAUCUGAGAGAGGGUGGAGAAGGAAGAAGACAGAGCAAAGAAGCAGAGCAGCAGAGCUUAGGGAGAGGAGGAUCAGGAGCAGAUGCAGCCUUACCCCUCUGGAAGUGUCUGCCUUGGAACUGCUGCUCAUGGUGGCAUCACUAGCCACAGAAACAGCAGACAUUACUGCAAAACCCUUGCAAUGCACCUGCUAAGACUGGUACCAGUCCACAAGUAGUGACCUGACCCUUUCCCAUUUAGUUAGGUAAGUAACUUCAUCUGGUAUAAAGGUCUAAGCAAGCCUACUAGCGUCUCUAGCUUAAA
Molecule: long non-coding RNA, 364 nt
Organism: Apteryx owenii (little spotted kiwi)
Lineage: Eukaryota; Metazoa; Chordata; Aves; Apterygiformes; Apterygidae
Source: Ensembl